Long non-coding RNA from Achroia grisella, 813 nucleotides. RefSeq lists it as uncharacterized. Lineage: Eukaryota; Metazoa; Arthropoda; Insecta; Lepidoptera; Pyralidae. The transcript has 3 exons. The record is from RefSeq and is a predicted model, not a curated record.
AUUAGUACGAUAAUAAAUAAAAAAUUACUUGGAUAAAGUAAGAUAAUGAGGGAAGAAAAGAGAAGGGAAGUUUAUGAACUAUGGAGAUCAACUACCAAAUUACAUUAUAAAUUAAAAAAAAUAUUACAAACAUAUGUUCUCAGCAACUACAUCAGCACAUUACAAUUGGUAUAUCAAUGUUAAACAAUUCACCUGAAAAGAACUACCAAAUAAUUUAACAUAUCAAUGGCAAUACAAAAUCCAGAUGUUGACAGAAGAUCGUAUUUGAACGUAAAUAAAAUAAAAAAUUCUACAAUUAAUGAUUUCAUUAGAAUUCUAUAAGUAAUUAUAAAAAUAAUGAAGGCCAAAAUAAUUAUAUUUGAUACUGUAGUAUUUGGCGCUUCGUUUUUUGUGUCGUAUAAAUUAAUGUCCGCAUUCAUAGAGAGAUAUCGGGGAAAACGGAUUGCUGAAAAGAAUUCUGGGAAAUAGCUUAAGAUUAUUAUAUUCUACGUUUCGGGGAAAGUGUUUAACGGCUGAGGCGGCGGUGGAAUGUGGUAGAAGUAUGGUUGAGAAUACAUAAUAUCUUCAAUUCCGGGUACAAUUGGCGUUGACCGCGCCGGCACCAUAGAUCGAACAGUCCCGCUACAUGGAGCGCGACGUAUCGACAUAGUUAUGUUUGAAAAGGGGAGAAAAACCUGCGCUCACGCAUAGCACGCGCCGAUACACUCCGGUGACUUUGAAAAGUUGUCAAUUUAAUGUUUUGUGGUUGUUUACACUGGUUUUGUUGAAGUACUUAGCUGUGAAUUAAACGAGUAUAUCCAUACUGUUGACAUA